This 71-nucleotide transfer RNA is filed under the name Chloroflexota bacterium. RNAcentral's name for it is "Chloroflexi bacterium tRNA-Ile". It matches the Rfam family "tRNA". Rfam says of the family: Transfer RNA (tRNA) molecules are approximately 80 nucleotides in length. Their secondary structure includes four short double-helical elements and three loops (D, anti-codon, and T loops). The record is from RNAcentral. Lineage: Bacteria; Bacillati; Chloroflexota.
GAGUCUCUAGCUCAAUUGAAGAGCACGACGCUGAUAAUGUCGAGGUUGCCGGUUAGAUUCCGGCGAGAUCA